UACAAUAUGUUUCUCGACGAUUGUAUGUCCCACUCGUUCUUAUUAUACCUCAGCAGUUACACUUUGUUGCCUAUGACUUGGGUGUAUUAUUUAGCCUUAAAAUACUUAGCUGUCAGGUGUGAAUGGGGGCUCGAAGGUAAAAGCACUGUCUUUCUUGAGGGUUAUCUUUACCACGCGCUAUAUCUAAGGAUAGUGAUCUAACCCACUUACCUAUCAAAGUCCAGAAACCCGUCGCAGUGACAGCGAGCAGUAGGCUAUUUCUUCUUAUUUUUAAAACACAUGUAUUCAAGAGGGCUGCUGCAUUGCUUUUACAGUUACAAAGAUAUCCAACUGAAAUGACGGACUUUCUCACUUUUCCCGCACUGCUCUGGAGUGUCCUGUUGCUAGUGCUCAGCGGCAUCAUCACACCCGCAUGCACAGAUGAUGGUCACCCAGGGCCAAGGGGUAUUCCUGGUAUACCGGUCUAGAUGGCUGUAACGGGACCAGAGGGGACUCUGGUUUCCCUGGAAUCCAUGUUCUGGAUGGGCCUGAUGGGGGAGCGGGUUUCUCAGGGAUCAAAGGAGUGCCAGGGGACCCCACCGUUCAGUUCAUCCAGUACCCUGGUAUACCUGUUGAUGUCGGCCGUGCUGGGGUUACUGGACUGCCUGUGAGCAAGAUGGUUGUUGGACGGUUGUUGGAUGGGUUCCCUACAGCCUGUCAAAUCACAACAUACACUACUUCAAAAUGACCCCCUUACCAGCAUGUGCCUGCCUCUGCUGCUGUGACACAUUCAAUGUGUCGACAUAGUUACUACUGCAUUACUAUUGCCUGGUCACCAGAUCUGUAUGCGAUUUAGCCAUCUUCACUAACUGUCCUUGUCAUGCCAACAAUGUACGUAAGAAGAGCAGCCAGGUUUACAUAUAACCAGUGCUUAAAACGUUCAUAAGAAUCCGCCUCUUUUUUUAAAUGUAAAUAGUCCUUUCAGUAUUACCACAAUAUUCCCAUACAUCUUAUUACCUGUCCUGUCUGGCUGUAGCAGGCUGUGUAGUAAAAUUAAAUGUAUUUGGCCCCAUUACACAAAACAUUUUUGGCAACAUUUUGUCCUGAUCAAUGCCGUUUGCAAGAACAAAAUAUUCAAACCGUUCUGUAUGAGCUCCAUUGCUCAACACUUUCAUCAAACUGUCCAAUAUUUCUAACAAUUCCAGACAUUUUUUGUUUGUCAUUUGGCUCCUGUUUGUUACUCAACUCAUACUUGUCCUCAACCAUGGCAAUGUUCUGUUCAGCCGUAAUAAUAUUUUCUGCAGUCUUCAACUUCACUCACUGAUGUUUUAUCCUGAAAUUCACUGAUUUAGCAGCUUUUAAUUCAAAAGCACAACCAGGAUUCCCUAGAGCACAAUGGGACAAACCCUCCAAUAACCAUACACUGGGCCACACUGAGCCAAUUGUGCACCGCCCCAUGGGUCUCCCGGUUGUGGCCGGCUGCAUCAGACUUGAACCAGGCUCUCUAGUGGCACAGCUAGCACUGUGAUACAGUGCCUUAGACCACUGCGCCACUAAGGAUGCUGGAAAAAAGCAGUUUUAAACUUUUUCCAAACAGAAAAGUUAACGUAGGUUCAGACUUACUCGUUAUCUGUUAUUAUGUCUCGCGGGUUUCAUAACCACGUCUUUAUAACAAUUCAAUAAUGAUCAGACGGGAGACAGGAAUCAGUUCAACCAUUUAUCUACAAUGUGCUCGGUCUCAACACAUACAACCCCCAUGAUGCGCUGCGGCACAAACCCAAUGAACAACACUGGCAGAAAAAUGUCUUGUUAUAAGAACAAUGUGUGCUAUAAGGAGGCAACUAUUUAUGUAUUACUCAGUUGACUAAAUAAUUGCCUCCUUAUAACAGAAAUGAAAUCAUUGCCAGAUUAUUGUGAAGUUUACAGUAGUUUCUGCACAGAUAUUUGCUAUUUUAUCAUGGACCAGGCUAUACAUUGAUGUUACUACUGUGGGCAUGAACCUCUUUAGUCAGAAACUCUUAGGUGCAUCCAAAUGGCUUGAUAUGGUAGCACCUACACAGAGCUCUGUUCCAGACAGACAUACAGACAGAGAGAGAGCUCAGGUCUUGGUCAGUCCCACAUCCCACAGGCCAUAGCCCCUGUUGUUUUAGUCUUCCUAUUCAGCCCUUUGUGCUGCUACUCUGUUGUUUCAGAGUGCCCCCUCUUCAGACCAAAGCCCCCAGAGCUCCACCAUUGUCACUCCCCGGGGGCUUUAGAUGGGCAGCUCGUAUCCCGACCCGUUUGUCUUCCGAGUGGUUUCACACCAUGAGCAAAAUGAGAGAGAGCCACAGGCAUGCUGAGCCGCCAGGAAGUCACCCAUCGGUGGGGGAUGGUGGAGUGAAGCGGGGGGAAAAUGGGUGGUCAGAGGGUGCUGUUCCCGGCACUGCAGACAAUCCGUUGCAUGGGGACCCCCACCAACCCCUUCACCCCCGACAUUAGUCCCCAGGGAUUAUGGUGGUAUUGGCUUAAAUCACGGUCACACACACAAGAGAGGUGCUCAGGAACUCUGGGACAAAACUGUUGUGGUAUGUGGCCUCUUCUCAGCUCAUUCUCGUUUCUACUUAGUUGGGUACUCCUUAAGCAUGCAUGAGGCCUAACACAGGUAGCAUAGCGGUUAGAGAAGUAGGGUUGCUGGUUUAAAUCUGAUGAUGUGUGACCUUGCAACUGGAGAGUUGCUUGCAUCAUGCUAGACAUCCUUGCUUGCUGUUGUUUCCUUGUGCAAGGCACUUAACCCCCUACAAUUGCUCUGGUGGCAGUGAACUGCAGCUGACCCACUGCUUCCAACCCCUCAGGGUAUAUUUGUGUGUGUGUCUUUGUGGGCUUGGGUUGUGAACAUAAAAUACAAAUGUCCAUUCUCUGUAAGUUAAUAGACUAUCAAGUUUUCUUCUAACCCAGUGGGUGUAAAGGACUGCUUGGUGAGUACCACUUCCUCCCGUUUCGGCACAUACCUGGCUCAAACCCUGGACCUCUGCUUCACAAACAUACCUGACCGUCCUGCCUCAAGCAUCUCUACCAGUCACACUUCUCAAAAGCUAGCAAUUGAAUGGUGCAAACGUGGAUACUUAAGGCUGAGGAGUAAGUUUCACUCAUCUCCAUGUGCCACAUAUCUGGGCAAACUGAAAUGAUGCCAUCAUUUCAACCAGUUUUGCCCGCUGGGAAUCACCCUCUGAGAACAGAGUCUUGUUGCCGAUCACUGCUUUACUGACCUGGGGUGAGUUUCCCAAAAACCUUGUAGCGAUUGUGAUCAUCGCUAUUUCUCUGGACGACCCAUACCAGUUCCACUAGCAGAAUAGCAACAUUUGAUGAAUUGUGUUCAUCGCAGAAGAUUUACAAUCAAAUAUCCUUUUUAUAGUUAUCCCUCUCUCACUGCUGUGUGGGUGGUUUGUCAAGAGAAACAAUGUUAUGAGUUCACUACAACGCUUCUGGGAAACUCACUCCUGCUUCUACCCUUUGAUCAUAAUGUAACACAUUCGGGGGGGUUGCCCCAACAGGGACUCAAACCCGAGUCCAGCAACUAUCAACCUUAGCUGUUCCGAAUCUCUUGACGAGGUCACUAGGUGUUGGAUUAAGGUUGCUACAAUAACAACAGCACAUUGUCACAUCAGAAAAGGCCAGUGGGCCUGUCUUUCAUCCUGCUCUCUCAGUAGGGAAGAAGGCAGUGAUUUAACAGAAGAAGAAGAAUUGACGUUUUGAAACUCUAGAGUCAGGGAACCAUGCGCUCACACUACAGCUAGUCUUAAGUGUGACAGUGAGUAGCUGUAAUGUUUGAUUAGCUCAGAUAAGCAUUAGUGGACAGCACCGGGAGAUAUAGGACUGUUCGAUCACUCUCACAGAUGAAUAGAGCCAUAGAAAUUCAAUGACUAGAUUAUAUGUCUAUGCAUAGAGCUCCCCGAUGAGACUACAUAGACCCAAGCUCUGUGUGUGGACCAAAGGGCUGUCUACUGCCACCAUGAGGGGGACAGGGCCAUCCCAGAUCAGGCAUGCCCUGCGGAGACAGAGACAAAGCAAGGUGUUGUAGUGAAUAUUUUCUAUUCAUCGAGGCUCACGACUUGGACCUGGUUCAAGUAUGCAAGCUUGCCACCGUGAAUGCUUCGAUGCCGCCUGAUUAGAAUUAAAUAGGGUCAGGUUCAGGUAUGUGAGAGACAAGAACAGGACAUGAGAAAAAUGUUAGCCAGAACCAGUAUGUGCUUGCAGAGGUGAGAGGUUGAAAGUGGGUGAGAGAAUAGGGAGAGGUGAAGGAAGGGGUGAGAGAGGUUGAUGGGUAACAUAGUAAGCACUGAGGUUGAGGAAGUUGACUCUUACAGAGGUGAGGCGGGGGUGGGGAGAGAUCUGGAGAUGUGUCUGAAAACGACAGACCAGCCGUCACCAGCAUGCUGGCUUGCCCAUCUGUGAACACUGACAUGCAGCGUAUCUCCUUGUUUUGAAUCCGUUGCAUUUUCUACAGUCUUUGAUGUUCCGCCACCAUGGGUUUGAAAAGUGUUUUCUGUUCUCUGGUAUUCUUGGAGAAUACCGUGUUUUCUAAUCUUGUCCAUCUCUUGAGAGUGCCACAGUCCCCCUCAGGAGACUGAAAAGAUUUGGCAUGGGUCCUCAGAUCCUCAAAAGGUUCUAUAGCUGCACCAUUGAGAGCAUCCUUACUGGUUGCAUCAUUGCCUGGUAUGGCAACUGCACAGCCACCGACCGCAAGGCACUACAGAGGGUAAUGGAUGGCUGCUAGCGUUGGCCGGCUCGUGUGUGGGUGUGUUUGUGUAAAGGUUUGUGUGGUCAGAUUACUGAGCCUGUUAGGCAAAACACUGAUUCACUUAUUGUGAUUUUUUUAGACAGGAGGGAAUUAAUAAAACAGGUGGUCAGGAAAUGUGUCCACAGUGACUCCACAUUAUUCUUAUCUGUAGACUACUGAGUGACGGUGUUAAAGCCUACGUCCUAAAUGGCACCCUAUUCCCUAUAUAGUGCACUAAUUUUGACCUGGAAACAUAGACCAAGGCCCGUAACAAUAUGUUAUUUGAUUAUGACUAUGAUGUUAUUAAGUGUCCAUGACCACUCACGGUCCUUUUGUACUCUUUUCACUGGUAACUAGUGUUCAUCUUUGUGACAGAACAGAGUCAUUUAGGUCUUCAAGCUGUCUUUGUCUCUAUUAAUCUGUGCAUCCUUCAUUCUCUCUCUCUCUCUCUCUCUCUCUCUCUCUCUCUCUCUCUCUCUCUCUCUCUCUCUCUUUCUUUCUCUCUCUCUCUUUCUUUCUCUCUCUCUCUUUCUUUCUCUCUCUCUCUCUGGCCCCUCUCCUUUUCCACUUUGCUGUUCUUUCUUUCAUUACAGAUUUUUUUUUUUCUUCCUGUCACCUCAUGUUGCUUAAAUCUCCGCUGUCUUUCCUCCUCUCUUUCCCCUCUCCUCCUUCUCUCCCUCUCUCUCCUGCAUGCCCCAGGUGUGUGCAGGUCUCUGUCUGAUGAUGUGUUAUCAGGGGACUGUGGAGCCGUCACACAGGGCCCAAGAUCCUGCCAGGGCGAUAACAACAUUAAAUUCACACACGGUCAGAUGCACACGCACGCACACACCUCCCUACUUGCACUGUUUUUUGACACCAAGCCUCAUUUCUAUCAUUCAGCUCUGCUAUUAUCAUAUUAUUUACGUGAUUAGUAUAAAAAUGUAAAACCUCUCCACUGUACAUUAUUUUGUUGAUCUAGUUUUUAAGUAUGCCAAGUGUUUAUGUCUGGAUGUGUUUAUGUGUGUGUGUGUGUGUGUGUGUGUGUGUGUGUGUGUGUGUGUGUGUGUGUGUGGGAGAAAGAGACUUUGUGUGUGUACAAAAUAUAGGACCCUAUCUGUCUCAUUGUCUCCCUCCCAGUGGAAGACUUACCAUUAGGCAGAAGAGGCAAUUGCCUCUGGCCUCACAUCAUCAAGUGGCCUUAUGAUGCUUAAUAAAACACAUACAGUGGGGCAAAAAAGUAU
Molecule: long non-coding RNA, 5955 nt
Organism: Oncorhynchus kisutch (coho salmon)
Lineage: Eukaryota; Metazoa; Chordata; Actinopteri; Salmoniformes; Salmonidae
Exons: 4
Source: RefSeq, a predicted model, not a curated record